This 587-nucleotide ribosomal RNA is filed under the name Ammodytes personatus (Pacific sandeel). RNAcentral describes it as "partial 16S ribosomal RNA". It matches the Rfam family "Bacterial large subunit ribosomal RNA", at positions 1810 to 2602 of the family's 2925-position model. The record is from RNAcentral. Lineage: Eukaryota; Metazoa; Chordata; Actinopteri; Uranoscopiformes; Ammodytidae.
AAAACAUCGCCUCUUGCAAAGUAAUGAAUAAGAGGUCCCGCCUGCCCUGUGACUCUAAGUUUAACGGCCGCGGUAUUUUGACCGUGCGAAGGUAGCGCAAUCACUUGUCUUUUAAAUGGAGACCUGUAUGAAUGGCAUAACGAGGGCUUAGCUGUCUCCUUUCUCUAGUCAAUGAAAUUGAUCUCCCCGUGCAGAAGCGGGGAUAGAACCAUAAGACGAGAAGACCCUAUGGAGCUUUAGACGCCAAGACAGACCAUGUUAAACACCUCCCCACAAGGAGCCCGAACCAAAUGGUCCCUGCCCUAGUGUCUUUGGUUGGGGCGACCGCGGGGAACCAUAAAACCCCCAUGUGGAAUGGGAGCACCCUCUCCUACAACUAAGAGCUACAGCUCUAAUGAACAGAAUUUCUGACCAACAAGAUCCGGCAAUGCCGAUCAACGGACCGAGUUACCCUAGGGAUAACAGCGCAAUCCCCUUUUAGAGCCCAUAUCGACAAGGGGGUUUACGACCUCGAUGUUGGAUCAGGACAUCCUAAUGGUGCAGCCGCUAUUAAGGGUUCGUUUGUUCAACGAUUAAAGUCCUACGUG